GAUGAACGCUGGCGGCGUGCCUAAUACAUGCAAGUCGGGCGAACAGACGAGGAGCUUGCUCCUCUGACGUUAGCGGCGGACGGGUGAGUAACAUGUGGAUAACCUACCUAUAAGACUGGGAUAACUUCGGGAAACCGGAGCUAAUACCGGAUAAUAUAUUGAACCGCAUGGUUCAAUAGUGAAAGACGGUUUUGCUGUCACUUAUAGAUGGAUCCGCGCCGCAUUAGCUAGUUGGUAAGGUAACGGCUUACCAAGGCAACGAUGCGUAGCCGACCUGAGAGGGUGAUCGGCCACACUGGAACUGAGACACGGUCCAGACUCCUACGGGAGGCAGCAGUAGGGAAUCUUCCGCAAUGGGCGAAAGCCUGACGGAGCAACGCCGCGUGAGUGAUGAAGGUCUUCGGAUCGUAAAACUCUGUUAUUAGGGAAGAACAAAUGUGUAAGUAACUAUGCACGUCUUGACGGUACCUAAUCAGAAAGCCACGGCUAACUACGUG
Molecule: ribosomal RNA, 497 nt
Filed under: uncultured bacterium
Lineage: Bacteria
Description: partial 16S ribosomal RNA
Rfam family: Bacterial small subunit ribosomal RNA
Source: RNAcentral